AUUGAACGCUGGCGGCAGGCCUAACACAUGCAAGUCGAGCGGAUGAAGGGAGCUUGCUCCUGGAUUCAGCGGCGGACGGGUGAGUAAUGCCUAGGAAUCUGCCUGGUAGUGGGGGAUAACGUCCGGAAACGGGCGCUAAUACCGCAUACGUCCUGAGGGAGAAAGUGGGGGAUCUUCGGACCUCACGCUAUCAGAUGAGCCUAGGUCGGAUUAGCUAGUUGGUGGGGUAAAGGCCUACCAAGGCGACGAUCCGUAACUGGUCUGAGAGGAUGAUCAGUCACACUGGAACUGAGACACGGUCCAGACUCCUACGGGAGGCAGCAGUGGGGAAUAUUGGACAAUGGGCGAAAGCCUGAUCCAGCCAUGCCGCGUGUGUCAAGAAGGUCUUCGGAUUGUAAAGCACUUUAAGUUGGGAGGAAGGGCAGUAAGUUAAUACCUUGCUGUUUUGGCGUUACCAACAGAAUAAGCACCGGCUAACUUCGUG
RNAcentral lists this ribosomal RNA (484 nucleotides) under uncultured bacterium. RNAcentral's name for it is "partial 16S ribosomal RNA". It matches the Rfam family "Bacterial small subunit ribosomal RNA", at positions 30 to 507 of the family's 1533-position model. The record is from RNAcentral.